GAGAACAGAGUAUAUAGAUUUUUGGGCUUACUUUUAAUUUCAUGUUGGUACCAAAUAAAAAAAAUUAUAAUAUAAAAAAGGAAAAAAAGAAACGAUUUUACCUUCUUGAAGCUUUUGCUAAGGUCUAAAUCUAGUUAUUAACGACCUCAUCUCGAAGUGGGUAUACGUUUGGAGCCUCCAUAACCAUUGACCAUAAACAACACCUGAUGAACUCGACAUGUGAUUUGUUAGGCACCAAGUAAAUUUUAAUAAUGUUUUUAUAAAUAAAAAAAAAAUCAGCAAAGCUUUUCGUCUGUAAAAAAAAAAAAAAAAUGAAACAGAACAUGCUAAUACCCAGAAACAUUUGCAAAAAAAAUUACCUUUCUUCUCGUCUCUUCUUUCAUCCUUCCUUUCCAACCACCAAUCUUUAUACGUAACUUCUCUCAUCCAUAAGGUCGUCCAAUGUAUUCUCUUUCAUUCUUCCAUGGUCAGCAGUUUUUCUCUCACCCACU
This 491-nucleotide long non-coding RNA is filed under the name Durio zibethinus. Its description in RNAcentral is "long non-coding RNA (DZIB_LNC001550)". Lineage: Eukaryota; Viridiplantae; Streptophyta; Magnoliopsida; Malvales; Malvaceae. The record is from RNAcentral.